Molecule: long non-coding RNA, 246 nt
Filed under: Mytilus galloprovincialis (Mediterranean mussel)
Lineage: Eukaryota; Metazoa; Mollusca; Bivalvia; Mytilida; Mytilidae
Source: RNAcentral
UAUAGUAAGGGAGCUACCAAUUGAUUUUUAUGGGGGGGCUAGGAUGAAAUUUGAAAAAAAUAGGCAGGACAGGAGUUUUGAGUAAAAAAAAAAAGGCAGGAUGAGACACAUUUUUUAUGUAAAAAAAGUCAGGAUAAACUAAAAAAAAAAAGCAGGACCGAAUAGAGUGAAAAAUAAAAAGGCAGGACAGAGAUUACAACUAAAAAAAAAUGCAGGACAAAAUUUUUCAUCCUAGCCCCCCCCCCC